AUUGAACGCUGGCGGCAUGCCUUACACAUGCAAGUCGAACGGCAGCACGGGUGCUUGCCCCUGGUGGCGAGUGGCGAACGGGUGAGUAAUACAUCGGAACAUGUCCUGUAGUGGGGGAUAGCCCGGCGAAAGCCGGAUUAAUACCGCAUACGAUCUACGGAUGAAAGCGGGGGACCUUCGGGCCUCGCGCUAUAGGGUUGGCCGAUAGCUGAUUAGCUAGUUGGUGGGGUAAAGGCCUGCCAAGGCGACGAUCAGUAGCUGGUCUGAGAGGACGACCAGCCACACUGGGACUGAGACACGGCCCAGACUCCUACGGGAGGCAGCAGUGGGGAAUUUUGGACAAUGGGCGAAAGCCUGAUCCAGCAAUGCCGCGUGUGUGAAGAAGGCCUUCGGGUUGUAAAGCACUUUUGUCCGGAAAGAAAUCCUUGGCUCUAAUACAGUCGGGGGAUGACGGUACCGGAAGAAUAAGCACCGGCUAACUACGU
This 485-nucleotide ribosomal RNA is filed under the name uncultured bacterium. Its description in RNAcentral is "partial 16S ribosomal RNA". It matches the Rfam family "Bacterial small subunit ribosomal RNA", at positions 30 to 506 of the family's 1533-position model. The record is from RNAcentral.